CCCUUAGAUGUUCUGGGCCGCACGCGCGCUACACUGAGUGGAUCAGCGGGUCUGGUUGCGCGAAAGCGUUUCCUAAUCUUUAAAUCCGCUCGUGAUGGGGAUUGACGGUUGCAAUUUUCUGUCAUGAACGAGGAAUACCUUGUAAGCGCGGGUCAUCAUCCCGCGCUGAAUACGUCCCUGCCCUUUGUACACACCGCCCGUCGCUCCUAACGAUUGAGUGGUCCGGUGAGGCUUUGGGAUCUGAGCGGAAAGAGCGUUUCGCUGUUUCUGCUCGGAAAACUCAGUCGAACCUUAUCAUUUAGAGGAAGGAGAAGUCGUAACA
RNAcentral lists this ribosomal RNA (322 nucleotides) under uncultured eukaryote. Its description in RNAcentral is "partial 18S ribosomal RNA". It matches the Rfam family "Eukaryotic small subunit ribosomal RNA", at positions 1470 to 1796 of the family's 1831-position model. The record is from RNAcentral.